RNAcentral lists this ribosomal RNA (253 nucleotides) under uncultured bacterium. RNAcentral describes it as "partial 16S ribosomal RNA". It matches the Rfam family "Bacterial small subunit ribosomal RNA", at positions 524 to 776 of the family's 1533-position model. The record is from RNAcentral.
UACAGAGGGUGCAAGCGUUAAUCGGAAUUACUGGGCGUAAAGCGCGCGUAGGUGGUUUGUUAAGUUGGAUGUGAAAUCCCCGGGCUCAACCUGGGAACUGCAUUCAAAACUGACAAGCUAGAGUAUGGUAGAGGGUGGUGGAAUUUCCUGUGUAGCGGUGAAAUGCGUAGAGAUGUGGAGGAACACCAGUGGCGAAGGCGGCCACCUGGUCUGAUACUGACGCUGAGGCGCGAAAGCGUGGGGAGCAAACAGG